This 71-nucleotide transfer RNA is filed under the name Marmota monax (woodchuck). RNAcentral's name for it is "tRNA.Val". It matches the Rfam family "tRNA". Rfam says of the family: Transfer RNA (tRNA) molecules are approximately 80 nucleotides in length. Their secondary structure includes four short double-helical elements and three loops (D, anti-codon, and T loops). The record is from RNAcentral. Lineage: Eukaryota; Metazoa; Chordata; Mammalia; Rodentia; Sciuridae.
GGGGUUGUAGCUCAGUGGUAGAGUGUUCACCUCACAUGUUGAAGGCACUGGGUUUGAUCCUCAGCACCACA